This 532-nucleotide ribosomal RNA is filed under the name Amathia sp. OKI. RNAcentral describes it as "partial 16S ribosomal RNA". It matches the Rfam family "Bacterial large subunit ribosomal RNA", at positions 1802 to 2624 of the family's 2925-position model. Lineage: Eukaryota; Metazoa; Bryozoa; Gymnolaemata; Ctenostomatida; Vesiculariidae. The record is from RNAcentral.
GUUUAUCAAAAACAUAGCUUCUAGAAUUAAUUAGAAGUAAAAUCCUGCCCGGUGAAAAUAAUUUUAAACGGCCACAAUCGUGCUAAGGUAGCGUAAUCAAUUGUCCUUUUAUUGAGGACUAGUAUGAAAGGAAAAACGAGGCUCAACUGUCUCUGUUAAUAAAAUAAGAAAUUAGUAACUAGGUGAAAAAACCUAAAUAAAAUUAAAGGACGAAAAGACCCUAUAGAGUUUAAAUAUAUUAUUUUAUUUGUCCGUUUUAACCAACAAAUAAAAUAAGUAUUUUAAUUGGGGCAACAUGGGAACAAAAAAAUUUCCUUACAUAAUACAUUUAAUAUUUUAAAAUUAAAAAUCCUCAAAGAGAUAAAGAAAAACUACCUUAGGGAUAACAGCGUAAUUCUUCUAAAGAGACCUAAUCGAAAGAAGAGUUUGCGACCUCGAUGUUGGACUAAGGCACCAUAAUGGUGAAGAAACUAUUAAAAGUAGGCCUGUUCGGCCUAUUAGCCUUACAUGAUCUGAGUUCAGACCGGGGCGA